UAUGAUUAAUGUGGCGUCGAGUAUUUAAAAUUACGUAACCCGAUGACCGAUGGAUGACCAGUGAGUUGAGUACUGCAUCGGCAACGAACUUUUAGGUUGCAGUCCUUGAGUUCGGGUGGUGGUGGUUUCCCGAGGAGCCAAACGAUGACGUGUUGGAGGUGUAAAAGGGAGAGGGGAAGACGGACGCGUGGAACGGUGCCGUUCGAUCUGUUGCGGGCGACGACAGGAGAUGCAGAGCGGGGCCGUUCCACCCGUAUCUGAAACGGCUGGGUGCUUUGUCGGAGCUCUCCGGCAGCGGACGGAACGGUUGGUGGAGAAGAUAUUUCUUCUUCUACUGGUGCAGAUGCCGGCGGCGGCGGUUACUCAGGGAGGGAGAGUGUCGGAGCAUUCUCAGGCGAAAUCCUCAUGGCUUAAAUCCUCGUCGAGCCAUGUCGUAGGCGAAACACGACGUCCCAAAUCGACGAAGGACUCCGCAAAGGAACUGGAUCAGUGGAUCGCGAAUGUGAAGAAAGGGCAGCAUCCAGAGGCGAAUACGUUAAGGAGAUUCUUGUUGAGGAGUCAAAUGUACAACCGGUUAAUAGCCCUGUGACUGUUUGUGGUGACAUCCAUGGCCAGUUUCAUGAUCUAAUGAAACUUUUUCAAACUGGAGGUCAUGUUCCUGAGACAAAUUACAUAUUCAUGGGUGACUUUGUCGAUCGUGGUUAUAACAAUCUGGAAGUUUUCACAAUUCUUUUGCUUCUGAAAGCCAGAACUUGGGACUGGAGGAUGUUGGAGUAGAGUUGGCAAAGAUUGGUGCAGUAUUGGUUGAUGAAUACUCUCGAACAUCAGUUGAUUCCAUUUGGGCUGUUGGAGAUGCUACAGAUAGAGUGAACUUGACCCCUGUUGCAUUGAUGGAAGGGAGGGGCAUUUGCUGAAACUGUGUUUGGUACUGAACCCACAAAACCAGAUUACAGAUUUGUAUCUAUAGCAUUGUAGGGGCAAUUUGUAGAUAGUGCUCUAAAAAGAAAUGAUGUCUGGUAAACUAUGGCCUGAUUAUGAUUAGUGAAACAAGCAUGUUACAAGAAGAUGAGAAUAUUUAGAAUCCCUGUAUUCUCUUGCAUAAGCAUUUUGUCAAGAUUAUCUCCACUAGCAACGUCAGCUAGCUAGU
Molecule: long non-coding RNA, 1147 nt
Organism: Musa acuminata AAA Group (dessert banana)
Lineage: Eukaryota; Viridiplantae; Streptophyta; Magnoliopsida; Zingiberales; Musaceae
Exons: 5
Source: RefSeq, a predicted model, not a curated record